GACGAACGCUGGCGACGUGCUUAACACAUGCAAGUCGAACGGAAAGGCCCCUUUGGGGGUACUCGAGUGGCGCACGGGUGCGUAACACGUGAGUAACCUGCCCUUGACUUCGGGAUAACUUCAGGAAACUGGGGCUAAUACCGGAUAGGAAUCCUUGCUGCAUGGUGGGGGUUGGAAAGCUUCGGCGGUUUUGGAUGGACUCGCGGCUUAUCAGCUUGUUGGUGGGGUAGUGGCUUACCAAGGCUUUGACGGGUAGCCGGCCUGAGAGGGCGACCGGCCACAUUGGGACUGAGAGACGGCCCAGACUCCUACGGGAGGCAGCAGUGGGGAAUAUUGCACAAUGGGCGGAAGCCGGAUGCAGCAACGCCGCGUGCGGGAUGACGGCCUUCGGGUUGUAAACCGCUUUCAGCAGGGGCGAAGCUUGUGGUGACGGUACCUGCAGAAGAAGCACCGGCUAACUACGUG
This 465-nucleotide ribosomal RNA is filed under the name uncultured bacterium. Its description in RNAcentral is "partial 16S ribosomal RNA". It matches the Rfam family "Bacterial small subunit ribosomal RNA", at positions 28 to 507 of the family's 1533-position model. The record is from RNAcentral.